Solanum tuberosum (potato) is the source of this 2428-nucleotide RNA transcript. RefSeq lists it as uncharacterized. The record is from RefSeq and is a predicted model, not a curated record. The transcript is spliced from 8 exons. NCBI's taxonomy places the organism in Eukaryota, Viridiplantae, Streptophyta, Magnoliopsida, Solanales, Solanaceae.
UUUAAUGCUUUUCAUUUUCAAAGCAAAUACAGAAGUCUCUGAGAUUUGUAUCAAAUUAGGGUUGUAUAGCUCAACUUCAUUAUCCGGCGAAGCGAAUUCGUUACUUUCCGGCGAGGUACUGUUUUGUUUCAGAGAGUUUUUGCGUUAUUACAGCUAAAAUUCUGGAACUGGUGCUACAGCUUGAAGAUAUAGCUUUGGAUGAAGUUUGCCUUAGCUAUGAUCAUAUAGUCCCACAUCCUAGUUGUGAACAUGCCAAUGAGUUUCUCUCCCGGAUUGAUAACUGUAAGAAACCCUAGUAUGAAGUAAUUGGUUUGUUAAGAACCAUAGGAGGUCAAUCUACUCUUAAAUAUAAUAAUCAGCAGAAGGGCAAAGAAGUUCCUCCUUUGAACAAGGACAAUGUUGGAGAAGGACUCAAGGGAUGAUAGGCUUGAUUGCGUGUUCCCUUCUAAACAUGAUAAGGACUCUGUUGAAGAAGUUUCAAGUUUAUCAUCUGAGAAUACUAGGACAUCAAAUGAUUGCUCCAGAAGUAACAAUGUUGACUCCAUUAGCAGUGAGGUUUAUCCCAAUGACCCCACUCUGGAUGACAAGAAUGCUGCAGUUAGGGAAAACUUGCAUAGCUAUCCUCUUGGUCCCGUUUCUCAGGCAGAUGAUGAUCUCGGUUUUUUUAAUAGUAAUCAUGAGGAUAAAAACACUACCGAGCUCUUAUAUUAUAACUGGCCUGAGAUGGAAAAUUUUGAAGAUCUUGACAGGAUGUUCAGAAGUUGUGAUUCAACGUUUGGACUUGGAGCUAGUAUUGAAGAUGACCUUGGUUGGUUUUCGUCAUCUGAUGUUAUUGAAGGAUCUGGAGGUGGAUUGAGGUCAGAUUUUGAGUUUCCCUUCUCAACAUCCAGUGCACUUGAAAAUAUCUCUGGAAUGCAGGAAGCUUCCAGGCCAAAGGAAACAGACAGUUCAAUUAAUGAUUCUGGCGCUAAAGAUCAACCCUUUAGUCAGACUGGCAGUUCAAUGCCAUCAGAGGAUGAAUCAGCCGUUCCGAGUCAUCUAUCUUUUGCAAAUGGCUCAAGUGAUUCAGAUUUCAAGAUAGUGCCCAAAAAGAAGAUUAAUCUUCACCAAAUUAACUCUAAGCUCCAGAAUCGAUCUGAGGGAAAAAGAAAACAUGUUUACCUGGAAAAUGGGGAGACAUUCAACUAUAUUGAUAGCCUUCCAGAAGAGAGAAAGCAUCCUACUGCAAUCACUGGAUCUCAGGCUCUCACAUCCACAGGUAUUCAGCAGCACAAGCAAGUUGAUGGAUCUGAUUUUGGGUAUUUUCAGGAUGGCUUUUCUUACUUAUCUUCAGAUUACAGUCAUUCAGAUCAGACUACGGUGGAUGGUAUAGGAACAAAUGAAAAUAUGGUGGACAAGCUACUUCACCAUUCUGUAAUUAAGCAUGAAAACAACAGGGAUCUUGGAAGUGUCAGCACGGGAAUUCCAGCAGAAGUAGGUUCCUCUAUUGUAAAGGAGAGCUCUUGCACAAGUUCCGGGUUGAAUGAAAUUUCUGAGGAGGCAGAUAGUUUUCAUCAGCUUCAACAUGUCAUGGAACGGCUGAUGUGCAAAAGCCUUCCAAAGUCUGACUUAUCGUUCAGUGUCUUGAAACUAUCUUUGUGUUAAUCCCUGUUAACUUGGGCUAGGAAGGGGCAGUUAGCAGAUAUGGUAUGUGGUUCUUCAAGUUUAUACAUUUAGUUGGAAAUAAACUUUCUUUUCAGUACAUACAUGUUUGUAAGCUCACUCUGUUGAGCUUUCUGGUUUAGUUGGAUAUAAGAACAAAGCUACGCAUAAAGGAUAGCUUGUAUCGGUUGGCUCAGAGUGCUGAACAAAGGCUUAGACAUUCUAAUCUCAAUAAUGGAUCUGGUGAUGAAAGAUGCACAAGCGGAGCAAUUGUUGACGAUGGAGAGUACAGGUGCACAGGAUAUUUGGACAUGGAGACAGACACAAACUCUAUAGAUCGAUCUAUUGCUCAUUUGCUCUUCCACAGGCCUUCAAACUCAUCUACGAUGGCUGAUUCUUCGGCUUUGAAGUCGCCUUCCAUGAUUUUCGAGACAUUACUCAGCCCACCAGUGAUUGAUGAGAACUUGAUUUCUGCUGGAGAAAAUGCAACCGAACCAGAUAAAGGAACGAAAUAUUAAAGAGGCUUCGAUACAAAUGGGUUGUGUUUACUUUCAAUUUAUGUCGCCUGGACUCGCCUACAUGUACGUGCAUGUAAGUAUCUGCUAUGGAUACUUAUAUAGUUUUUUGUUGUUUAGUGUAAUUCGAAGAAUCUACACAAAGUAUGAGGAUGAGGGUCUAUGUCAAAUAGCUUCCAAUUACUCGUGUGUUUGUUUAUGAGAAUUAUCAAGAAUCUCAAAUGAGAAAUUAUUUCAUGUUUAUAACACGCUCGUGUGUUCCAUGAUUUUGA